RNAcentral lists this ribosomal RNA (254 nucleotides) under uncultured bacterium. RNAcentral describes it as "partial 16S ribosomal RNA". It matches the Rfam family "Bacterial small subunit ribosomal RNA", at positions 524 to 776 of the family's 1533-position model. The record is from RNAcentral.
UACGGAGGGUGCGAGCGUUAAUCGGAAUUACUGGGCGUAAAGGGUGCGUAGGUGGUUUGAUAAGUUAGCUGUGAAAGUCCUGGGCUUAACCUGGGAAGGUCAGCUAAGACUGUUGAACUUAGGGUAUAGGAGAGGGUAGUGGAAUUUCCGGUGUAGCGGUGAAAUGCGUAGAGAUCGGAAGGAACACCAGUGGCGAAGGCGGCUACCUGGCCUAAUACUGACACUGAGGCACGAAAGCGUGGGGAGCAAACAGG